Molecule: ribosomal RNA, 459 nt
Filed under: uncultured bacterium
Lineage: Bacteria
Description: partial 16S ribosomal RNA
Rfam family: Bacterial small subunit ribosomal RNA
Source: RNAcentral
CCUACGGGUGGCAGCAGUGAGGAAUAUUGGUCAAUGGGAGAGAUCCUGAACCAGCCAAGCCGCGUGAGGGAAGACGGCCCUAUGGGUUGUAAACCUCUUUUGUCGGAGAACAAAACCCGGGACGUGUCCCGGACUGCGUGUAUCCGAAGAAAAAGCAUCGGCUAACUCCGUGCCAGCAGCCGCGGUAAUACGGAGGAUGCGAGCGUUAUCCGGAUUUAUUGGGUUUAAAGGGUGCGUAGGCGGUCCGUUAAGUCAGCGGGAAAAUUGCGGGGCUCAACCCCGUCGAGCCGUUGAAACUGGCAGACUUGAGUGGGCGAGAAGUACGCGGAAUGAGCGGUGUAGCGGUGAAAUGCAUAGAUAUCGCGCAGAACUCCGAUUGCGAAGGCAGCGUACCGGCGCCAGACUGACGCUGAGGCACGAAAGCGUGGGGAUCGAACAGGAUUAGAUACCCCAGUAGUC